This is a non-coding RNA of Castor canadensis (American beaver), 1542 nucleotides long. NCBI's taxonomy places the organism in Eukaryota, Metazoa, Chordata, Mammalia, Rodentia, Castoridae. The record is from RefSeq and is a predicted model, not a curated record.
AAGAAGCCUCCUUUCAGAGACGAGUGAUGGCGAGUGGGAGGGCCACCCAGGGCUGGGACCAUGGCAGCCUCCCUAUGCCCAGCCUGUCCAGGGGGAGCUACCACUUUAUCCCAGAGGCUCCAGGAAAGGUCAGCUUCCUAGAAACUGGCUGACCACAGCUCCCUUGCCCUCUGUGCCCCAGUUUUUCUCCCCUCAUUCACCCCAAGACUCACCUCAAGCAGCACCUGUGGCAAAGCCUGGUAGGCUAGAGUUAGGCCCCUCUCCCUGCCGCCCCAGACUUAGGUCCCUGCCUGGGAUCCCCUGGGGCCUGUGCUUGCUUCUCCCCCUCCAGUCCUGCUGUCUAUCACCUCAACCCACAGUGUGCAUACGUGGGUCAGCUCAUCACCACGUUUGCACUUGGCUGUUUAAAUGAUCCCCAAGGAAGGCCAUGACACAGGCCUACCCUGAGGGUGAGCUGUAUUUACAAAGUGUGGCUACAGAGAACUGCCGAGAGUGGACUGUGUUUUCAUGUUGAGAGUCGUGUCACACCUCGUACACUUUCCAGAAUGAUAUAGGAAAUGCAUACAGAAGUGGGAUUUCUGCCCCAGGGGCGUACAGUCCUCCCUACUUACAAUCAAAAUUUUGUCCUAUAGGCCUCCCCGGGAUCUGGGCAUCUGAUCAACCUUAGGGCUGCCAGUCGGUUGGUGGUGCUUUGCAUGGGGCAGGCGUCAGUAGCCCCUGUGGAAACUACCGGAUCAGGACCAGAGCCUCACUGUACUGGCAUCACAUCACAGAGACUGAAGCUAUGAAGAUCAUGGAUGAGGCCAAGAGGCCCAGAGACGGGCAGGAGUCUUCUUGAGAUCACAGGGUGCAUAGCAGGAUGGGAACCGAUUUUCCAAGGCUGCUAUGGGCCCAGCCUGCCCUCCAGGGCCUUACAGCCCUUUCCACUACAGGGCAGGGUCCCUCCUGUGCACAGCUUGGGAGACUCUGUCCUCUCACCAGGGGAGCCCUGUGAUCACCUGGCUGGAGAGACCAAGUCCUGUGUUUCUGGAGUGGAUAGCUGUUUAGAGGUUAGUAAGAUAGUGGCUCAGAGCACAAUUUUGGAGCCAAGCAGAUCUGGACCCAAAUCCUGGACUCCUGGUUCACGGCCCACAUGACCCAGACUGUGGACAGGAACAACCAACAGGAGCGAAAGCCAAGGGCAAGAGUGAAAGCAAGGGCGGCUGCCUUUCUCACCGCUGUUGUUCCACCACUCGAGCCACGCCGCCAGCCCUUCUCACCAUCCUUGAAGGCAGGGCUGUGUGCUGAUGAGUCUACCGAAAGGAGUGGCUUGCAAGCUGAUUGUCCCUUUUGAUGACACACGAGGGGAGGUAGUGGCUGUGGUCCCAGCUGCGCCUCUCUCCCCUCCCUGGUGGUGAGGGCACAGGGGUCCACUGCCGGCCACUUGAGCCAAGGCUUCCUGUGCAGCACGAGCAGCCUCUGCAGACGCUAAGGAGUUGGUGUUUGGCGCCCGGUACAGGAAACUCUGGGCACCACUUCUGGGAACACAAGACAUUUAAGUGA